CUGUUGCCGCGCAAGGCAAUUUAGUUCAUAUAUUUUUUUAUAGUAGUACCUAAUUGUAGAAUAAUUGUAGUAUAUCUAAUAUUAAUUAAUUAGUUGUUAUCUGUAGUUUGCAUUAUUUCUUGUAAAAUUAUUAUCUGUAUUCCUUUGUAGAAUUUCAUUGUCUUUUGCAUAAUCUUGUAUUAUCUAUAACUUUUUCCGGCCCUUCCUAAUUUAACUUCUCACGCUGUCACAUCGCAUUAAAGGCAAAAAUUAAAAUUUAAAAGUAUAUUGAGUUUUAAUUAUCAAAUUAAGGCUCCAUUAUGUAUCAAAUACAACAUCUUUUAAU
Molecule: unclassified non-coding RNA, 325 nt
Filed under: Melitaea cinxia (Glanville fritillary)
Lineage: Eukaryota; Metazoa; Arthropoda; Insecta; Lepidoptera; Nymphalidae
Description: misc RNA ENSMCXG00005000857.1
Source: RNAcentral